UGUAUUUUUAAUCAAAUAAAUGUAACCUUGAUGAGCAUAAGACACUCUUGUAAAAAACAUAAAAAAAUCGUUCUGAUACCAAACAUUUGACCGGUAGUGUAUAUAUACAUAAAAGGUGCGAGGUGACACUGGCUGUAGUACCGCAGAUCUCGCCACAUGGGUGCGCUGUUGUACUUUCUGCCGCGCCACAGUACAUUCUCUCUCUGCUCUCUCUCUGCUCUGCUCUUGUUUAGUGUGUGCCACACGCCCUCACAGUUUCUGUCACACACUCAGACAACGUGAGUUCAGAAUCCGGUUGUCUUAAGUUAAACGCACUAAGAAACACCUGAACGAACAGAGACGGGCUGCUGUCCGGUAUCUGACUCGGGUCUCACUCUGAGCACAUCAUUGGUUCCGGUGACAUCCGUUACCAUACCGCACUGAUGACAUCUUAUUUAAUCACGCAGCAGACGACAAGACAAGAAACCUGUGCUAUCAGGUGAGAGCCUCGGUUCAACAGCACUAAACAAAGUCUCUCUAUUUGUCCCUGCCACUUUCUCUAUCACCGCCUCUUCACUCCUUUAUAUAAAAAUGGGGGUUUAAAAUUGAAUUUGCAGCAGGUGUGUGUGUGUCUCAAUCACACCUAUAGGGUUUAUGCAAGGCGCGCGCACACACACAGUCAUUAGUACCCAAAUGACCUGCUGUGACAGAACUGCAGCCAGACUCUUGCAUUCUGCUUCCUGCUCACUGGCCCAGAAAUCCAAUCUCCCCCAUCAUCCAUCUCCACGUGUGUGUGUGUGUGUGCGCGCGUGCGCAUGGCAGCGUGUGUGUCUUGAAUGCAGGUGUUAAUGUGUUUUGUGCCUUAUCUCACUCAGCCAAAGACACUACAUAAAAAAUAUGCAGCUCAGAAAGAGCAAGAAAGAAGGGGUACACUGCAGUGUUCACUCUUCUGUUUCACUGGGGACAUCAGGAACAGGUAAAAUUGUGAUGCCGACCGCCCGCUGUGUACCCUGACCUUUACUCUGGAACCAGGAUUUAUGGAACAGUUGUGAAAUAUAUCUGUAUAUAUAAGGCAGCGAAUUUGUGAGUGUUGAAAAACAAUGCACAAACCCUUGACUACUGCAACCAAACCUUGCUCUUAUUCUUUUGAUAGCCAUAAAAUUGGUACAGCUUUUCUACAGCCAUUUUUAUGGUUUCUUGGUGCUCGGUUUCUGCCCUUGUGACCCGCUGGAAUAUCGUGACUUCACAAUAUAUGUGGUUCAUUGUAAGUUGCUGUGGUAAGAAGCAGCAAAAUAAAUGGAAAUGGAAAUGUGCAG
This is a long non-coding RNA of Cyprinus carpio carpio, 1295 nucleotides long. The record is from Ensembl. Lineage: Eukaryota; Metazoa; Chordata; Actinopteri; Cypriniformes; Cyprinidae.